Small nucleolar RNA from Macleaya cordata, 107 nucleotides. It matches the Rfam family "Plant small nucleolar RNA R71". Rfam says of the family: R71 is a member of the C/D box family of snoRNAs containing the C (UGAUGA) and D (CUGA) box motifs. Multiple nearly identical copies of this snoRNA have been identified in Arabidopsis, and it is thought to function as a 2'-O-ribose methylation guide for 18S ribosomal RNA. NCBI's taxonomy places the organism in Eukaryota, Viridiplantae, Streptophyta, Magnoliopsida, Ranunculales, Papaveraceae. The record is from Rfam.
AUCUGGUGACGAGGGCAAGAUGCACAUAACUUCUUGAAUCUUUCCCAAUACUCAUAUAAACUCUCUCUAUUUUGUUGUCGAACACCACAUAUUUCUUUCCUAAUGUU